Molecule: RNA transcript, 615 nt
Organism: Arachis ipaensis
Lineage: Eukaryota; Viridiplantae; Streptophyta; Magnoliopsida; Fabales; Fabaceae
Source: RefSeq, a predicted model, not a curated record
AAAAUAACAUCUAUCCUUUUUUUAACUAAAGCUAGAUAUUAUUUUAUUCCAUAAGAAAUAAAUAUUGGUCCACACUUGGACAACAAGACAUAGGAAAUGGGAGUCUCCUAAUCACGAGUGAACAAUAAUCGAAACAAACAAAAGCUAAAAAGAAAAGAAGUAGCAUAUUCAAGAAGAAAAGAAGAAGAAUAUUCACAAAGAAGGAAGCGGAUGGUUUAUGAACUCUAGAGCUAAUUUUUCUAUCAGAGCCAGUUUUCUUAGGUGUUAAGCAUUUGCCUUUAAAGAGUUGAAGAUUUCUUGCAAGCCAAAUCUCCCAAAGUGUGUAUGCGAACUAGGAACAAGGUGCUAUUUGAGUUUUGUCUAGAUUGCUGCUAAUGACAUGUGAAGAAACAGCGGAAAGCCGAUUUAGGGUGUUGGUGACAUCAUUGGCAAAUCGACAGAAUAUGGGCUAAUCUGGAGUGGAGUCUCUCCAUGAGAGCUGUACAAUAAAAAAAACUAAUCUUACUAGUGACAUUAUCAUUAGAAGCAAAUCCUCUCCAGUAACUUAUGUAUUAUGGCAAUUUCUUAUGUAUUUGGCUAUAAUUGUGGAUUAUUAUGGAUAUUUUGUUAUUGUUA